RNAcentral lists this transfer RNA (71 nucleotides) under Chikila fulleri (Kuttal caecilian). Its description in RNAcentral is "tRNA-Gln". It matches the Rfam family "tRNA". Rfam says of the family: Transfer RNA (tRNA) molecules are approximately 80 nucleotides in length. The record is from RNAcentral. Lineage: Eukaryota; Metazoa; Chordata; Amphibia; Gymnophiona; Chikilidae.
UAGAAAAUAGUGUAAUGGAAGCACGUAAAGUUUUGAUCUUUAAUGUAUUGGUUCAAGUCCUAUUUUUCUAU